GGUCGCAAAUUAUCAAAGUAUUGGUCACAAAUUAACAAUUUUUUAGGUUAUACAUUAUUUAUUGAUCACAGUUUAUCCUUUUUAUGGGUCACAUAUUAUUUAUUGAUCACAGCAUAUUAACCAAUUUAAUGGUCACAAUCAAUCAAAUAAUCUGUGACCACCACCAAUACUUGCAACUAUCAUCUCCACUACACUACACCACACCACCAUAACCAUCCAAGAAAUCUCCAAACCUACAAUCACCACCGCUACGACCACCCACCAACAACGCCAUCGCCACCAAUCCACAACCAUAGUCAUCGCCGCCACCAACCAAAUGGUCAUAAACCCCACGACCCACAGUCAUCACACCACUACCAUGACCACCAUCAAUACCAUAUCACCACCAACACCGCUUUAACAUUGGUAACAAAACGAAAACAGAAAAAGAACCCAAAGAGUAAGUACCACUUCAUCGUUACACCGGCACCAUUAAUACAAUUUUACAAUCUAAAACUCACAAAAGAAAUAGAAAUAAAAACUAAAAUCAGCACUGCCACAUUGCCAUCAGCACCUCACAAUCUAAAAUAAAGUACUAGUUGAGCACCACCCAAACACCACAAAAAAAAAUCAGCUAAGCACCCCCUAAAGCUCCAACGAAGCAGAUCGAAAGAAGAAAACAGCCCAAAAUCCUAAAACCACGUUGCUACAUCCACCUCUACCAACCGCACCACCAUCACUACAAUCCAUCAUAGACAAUACCACACACACCAUCGGAGACCACUGCACUAAAUAGAUUUACACCCUUUUGUGUCAGACACAUAGAUCGACGACCACCAUGAACCAACGACGCUUGUCGUUACUUAUAAUAGACCCGCUGUCGCUGUCUUCUGAAUAGAUCCGUGGUAGUAAUGUCUACUUUGGAGUGAUGCCACUAUGGUGGUGGCGUCUGGAGCGUCACAUUGCAGUAUCUCCAAUGAUGAUAAAGAGAGGAGAGAAUAGAGGGAUAUAGAGAAAGAAAUGAAAUGGUAAAGAGAGAAAAUGGAUAUUAGGGUUUGGUG
This 1040-nucleotide long non-coding RNA is filed under the name Olea europaea (common olive). RNAcentral describes it as "long non-coding RNA (OEUR_LNC008951)". The record is from RNAcentral. Lineage: Eukaryota; Viridiplantae; Streptophyta; Magnoliopsida; Lamiales; Oleaceae.